This is a non-coding RNA of Ameiurus melas (black bullhead), 70 nucleotides long. The record is from the annotation of a GenBank genome assembly. NCBI's taxonomy places the organism in Eukaryota, Metazoa, Chordata, Actinopteri, Siluriformes, Ictaluridae.
CGCCUGGUGGCUUAGUGGUUAGCAUGUUUGCCUCACACCAGGGUCCAGGGUUCGAUUCCCACCAGGGCCA